This 8119-nucleotide long non-coding RNA is filed under the name Triticum aestivum (bread wheat). Its description in RNAcentral is "long non-coding RNA (TAES_LNC011718)". The record is from RNAcentral. Lineage: Eukaryota; Viridiplantae; Streptophyta; Magnoliopsida; Poales; Poaceae.
UCUACGUUUGGUUCGGCUUCAUCCGUUCAUCUUCUUCAUGGACUCGUUCUUCUUCCUUGCGGGAUUUCAGGCAAGAUGACCGCAACCUUGGAUCUCACUACUAUCAUUGCUAUGCUAGUUGCCUCGUUCUUUUGCUAUGCUGCGCUACCUAUUACCUGUUUGUCAAGCCAUCCCAAAUUGCCAUGAACCUCUAACCUUUGACACCAUUCCAAUGCAAACCUUUGUUUGGCUAUGUUACCGCUUUGCUCAGCCCCUCUUAUAGCGUUGCUAGUUGCAGGUGAAGUUGAAGAUUUCUCCAUGGUGGACAGGAUUUUGGUUGGGAUAUCACAAUAUCUCUUAUAUUAUUAAUGCAUCUAUAUAUUUGGUAAAGGGUGGAAGGCUCGGCCUUAUGCCUGGUGUUUUGUUCCACUCUUGCCGCCCUAGUUUCCGUCAUACCGGUGUUAUGUUCCCGGAUUUUGCGUUCCUUACGCGGUCGGGUGAUUUAUGGGACCCCCCUGACAGUUCUCUUUGAAUAAAACUUGUCCAGCAAGGCCCGACCUUGGUUUUACCAUUUGCCUCACCACCACCUAUACCCUUCCCUUGGGUCGGCCAACCCAAGGGUCAUCUUUAUUUUAGCCCCCCUGGGCCAGUGCUUGUCUAAGUGUUGGUCCGAACCGAGCCGCCUGCGGGGCCACCUCGUGGCAACUCGAGGGCUGGUUUUACUCGUAGCCUGUCUCAUCCGGUGUUGCCCUGAGAACGAGAUAUAUGCAGCUCCUAUCGGGAUUGUCGGCGCAUCGGGCGGUCUUGCUGGUCUUGUUUUACCAUUGUCGAAAUGUCUUGAUGUACCGGGAUACCGAGUCUGAUCGGAGUGUCUUGGGUGAAGGUCUAUUCCUUCGAUGAUCGCGAGAGCUUGUCAUGGGCUAAGUUGGGACACCCCUGCAGGGUAUAAACUUUCGCGAGCCGUGCCCGCGGUUAUGUGGCAGAUGGGAAUUUGUUAAUGUCCGGUUGUAGACAACUUGACACUUGAUCCGAAUUAAAACGCAUCAACCGCGUGUGUAGCCGUGAUGGUCUCUUCUCGGCGGAGUCCGGGAAGUGAACACGGUUUCUGUGUUAUGUUUGACGUAAGUAGGAGUUCAGGAUCACCUCUUGAUCAUUGCUAGUUCACGACCGUUCCUUUGUUCCUCUUCUCGCUCUCAUUUGCGUAUGUUAGCCACCAUAUCAUGCUUAGUCGCUGCUGCAACCUCACCACUUUGCCCCUUCCUUUCCCAUUAAGCUUUGCUAGUCUUGAUACCCAUGGUAAUGGGAUUGCUGAGUCCUCGUGACUCACCAGAUACUUCCAACACCAGAUUGCAGGUGCCUAUGUUACCGAGCAGGUGACGCAACCAAGCUCAAGGAGGAGCUCGAUGAAGAUCUUGCCCUUCGUGUUGUUUCGUUCUAGUUGAUCAGUAGUGGAGCCUAGUUGGGGUCGAUCGGGAACCUUUUGUCGCAUUUGGGGUUCUUCUUUUAUUUUGGUUCCGUAGUCGGACCUUGAUUGUAUCUGGAUGAUGUAAUGCUUUAUUCAUGUAAUUGUGUGAAGUGGCGAUUGUAAGCCAACUAUGUAUCUCUUUCCCUUAUGUAUUACAUGGGUUGUUUGAAGAUUACCUCACUUGCGACAUUGCUUUCAAUGCGGUUAUGCCUCUAAGUCGUGCUUCGACACGUGGGAGAUAUAGCCGCAUCGAGGGCGUUACAAGUUGGUAAUCAGAGCCUUCCCCGGCCUUAGGAGCCACAAUGCUUUAUUGUUUUUAGCGGCCAAGUUGUGUCUAGAAAAAUGUUUUGAGUCAUUUAGGAUUAUAUAUAUCAGAGAGUUAGGAAUUCUUUUUACUCCGCAGUCCCUUCGUCGCUCUGGUGAGGUCUCCUGACGUAGAGUUUUGACUCUUCUCUUCUCAAAUUUCACUAAAUUUUUUUUAGGAUCACGCGGGUAUCUUAGAAUCGUUCCGAUGGUUUUAUGAUGACAACAUUGUCUUGGUGCCUCCCGUCAGCAGGGUUUUUUUUAAUGGAGGUGUCCCGGGGAGUUGAUCUCUGAGGUGUUGUCGUCAUAAUUUUAUCGUUGCAGUUCUGGAAUACCUGAGUUUAGUACGCCGACAUCAAAAAUCUCUUUUAUGCAGUUGUUGCUGAGAUAACCCCGCUAACCCAGUACUGAGGUGAGUACGGGAGUAUUGCCAUGACUCGUAUAACGGAUGCGUUUCGAAGGUUGAGGUAGACGAUUUCUGAAGGUUUCUUGGUUAUGUGUUGACGGAUGGAUACAGCUUGGAUGUAGGUAUUGUUAGUUUGGGUGAGAUAUAUUGCUUCCCCUGUAUCCCCAACACCAGAUUGCAUAACCAGAAAGUUUCGGGAGUUUUAUAGGUGGGAAUUCAAGUAGCUCCUAGAAUAUCUUUCCGACAGAUGCGUGAUAUGGGAUUGGGUAAAUCUCUAUCAUAUGUUUGUUCCGGCUUAUUCUGCAAGCCAACUCCUUUGUUUUGUUUUAAUUGUGGUAUUCGAGUUGCUUCGAAGUCAAAUGUUGAAUCCAUACCUUUUCCUAAACGGUGUUCUCAUAUUGCUAUGUGAAUACUAAUCCUUUUUGAUCAUUGAGGUUGUCAUGUUAAUUCUUUUCCAAUCGGUGCGCUUCUCUUCGAGAUGAUCCCAUCAUUCUCCCCAUCCGCAAGAUCAAUUCUAAGUCUUCUCAACGGUGUUUGUUUCAUCCGUCUCCAAGUUACCUUUGUUUUUUCCCGCCCACCCACCGUUUUUCCUCAAGGACUAAGAUUUCUUUACCAUGUAUCCUUUUAUUUGUGGGAAGUCUCGUCAUUCUUUUCAAUCAAUGUUCUUACCCGGUGGUUCUCAAGAAGAUGUUCUUCUAGUUCAUCAUUCCUCAUUCCUUUCUCUUCUCCGGUGGAUUCAAGUCAAGUUUUGUUGAUCAUAUACCUUUUUCCUCAUUUCAAUGUCUUCUCAUGCCGGUGCACCUCAUUAUCAUUCUACUUCUCGCUAUUUGUUAUUCCAGAGUGCUCAAGAUAUCUCGAAGAUUCGUGUUUCCACUCUGCAUUCGUUCAAGCUAUUUCGAGGUUCUUAUCUCAUUCAAGUCAUUUAAUUCAGCCGGUGCAACAUCUCUUUUAAAUCAUUUCAACGGUGUUCUUUUGAGUGGGCCUAACCCACAAGUCUUUUCCCAUGAUCUUACCUGACUCUUCUAAUUAUUCCGGAGCUAUCCCAAAUUCUUCUCCAAGUUUGACGUAAGAAUGAGUUAUCAUCAGUCAAAUGCUUUUCUCCAAGAUCUUUCAAUUUUUUUUCAUAGUUGGCUCAACCUCUUCGCUUUUGAUUCUUCCGGUGUGCCUCAAUAAUUCUUGGUGGUGUUUCUCGUUGUCAUUCUCAUCAUUUGAAGACCGAAGAAGGAUUUCUCCUAAAUCUUGUCCGUUCUCUUGAAGAUUCUUGGUUCUAGCUUUAUGCCAUCCUCAUAAUUGUUUUGAUUGUCACAAUUCUUUUAUUACCAUCCGAAGCAUUUCAUGAGUUGUUUCCAUUUCUUUCCUUCGAAGGCCAUCAUGUCAUAAUUCUUCAUCCUCAGCGUGUAGCUAUCGUUCUCCAAAUCUUACCGGUGAUUCGUUCAAAUAUCCUCUAAUCAGUACGUGAUCUCUUCAUUCUCUUGUAUCUAAAUCCCUUCAAGUAUCUUCAUUCGUUUUACAAUUCUUCCCGGUGAAUUGUGCCUUUGCUACGUUCAUUUUCAAUUCUUACGGUGGUUCAUUCAAGAUUUCACCUCUUUCAUUAUCAUUUAAUUCAUUCGUUCUUUCCAAUCCUACCGGUGGUUCGUUGAAGACCUUCCCAAGCUUGCGCCUUAUCUAUCUUAAUCCUUUCUACGAGAAUAAGUGGCAUGCCAAAUCCAUUGUGGGUCAUCAAUUUAAUUGGUGAAGGAUAAGCAUAACAUAAUUCUUAUUCUUGUUCAUCCAAGUAAAUUCAAUUCCUUAUUCCGGGGGUUCAUCAAAAAUUCUUGGUUUCAAUUGCUCAUCCUUCUUUUUCGGAGUUCCAAGUUCUCUUGGUUAUAUAAUCGCAAAGCUCCAUCUAAAUCAUUGCAAGGCUUCACCUUGUGUUUUCAACUUCUCUUUCUUUUCAUCAUCCUUUUAUUACCGGAGUUCUUCAUGGAGGCUCUACAUGGUGGUUCAUCAAGGAUUCUUUUCAUUCCUAAAUUGUUCUUCAAGUUUUCUCUCGAAGUUAUGACCCGCCAAGCUAUACUCAAAAUUAAACAGGAUGCCCAACACUUGUUUUGUUUUGAGAAGCUCAAGUAUUCUCUGUCUUGCAUUCCAAAGUGCAAUUUCUUCUAUCUUAUCUUUUGAGAUGGUGUUAUGUCACUCUUGACAAUUUCCUUCAUGUUUCAUGAUUCAUAUGUUGUCAAGAAGGAGGUAUUUUAAAUCCAUCAGUCUCUUCAUUGGAGUUACCUUGGGUUAUAUUUCACCUAAAGCUUUCCCUAAGGAUUGUUGCUAUUUAUGGUGCUUAUAAAUGACCUAAGUUCUUCAUUUGUCCUCCCGGUGAAAUAAGUUUCUCAUCUCCUUGUUGAUAUCAAUCCAAUCAUUUGUUUCCGUUGGUGGCAGAAGCUCACCUCAUAAUUUUGAGAUGUUUUCAUAAGCCCACCACAAGCUUAUUCUUUUCGUUGUUGGUUUUCCAACAACUCCGUUGGAUUCUUCUUUGCAAGGAUGCUUUCCAAGUUCACCUGUGGCAAAAGUUGUCAUUUUCUUCUCCGUCCCUUUAUUCCAAUGAUCUACUUCUAUUCUUUCUUACGGAGGCAUUGUGAUGUUGCUCUUUUCACUCAUCACCUCGUUUUGUGAGGAUCGUGUUCUUUUCUUUCUUAUCCAUUUAACCGGAGUGUUGUUUCAUCUCUUCAAUAUCUUUUCAUCUCAUCAAGUUUUCUUCUCUUUUCUACCGGAGUGCUGUCCAAAUUCUGCCAUUCUUGUUCCUUGGCUAUCUCAUUAUACUGAUGUGGUCAUAUUCUUUUCGUUCGUGAAGCUCUUAUUUUCCAUGUCUUUCAAACUUCAAAUUCUCGUAAUACUCCUUGUUCAUUGUUUCUACCGGUUUGCUUGCAAUCUCGUUCAUCUCUGUUGUAUUUUUUCUUUUAAAUUGCUCAACCUCUCAAGGUUCGUGGUUUCACUCGUUUUUCGAAGAAACAACUAAGUUUUACCUCUUCUCUUCCUCUUCCGUUUUCCCUCCGGUGCCAUCCUAGAUCUCGGGACGAGAUCCUCUCAUAGUGGUGGAGUGUUGUAACGCCCCGGAUGCAACUUUCCAUAUUCGUAACUCCAACUCUUGCCUUUUCCGGAGAUGCGAUAUGAUAUUUCCUUCCUGGUUGAGCUUUUGUCUUUUGUUUUGCAUUUUAUUCUUGCCAUGCUUAGCUUCAUAAUCAUGCCUUCUUACUGUUGGUUGCCUUGCCAUGCCAUGUAUUGCUCUGUAGUGAGUGGUUCGAGCUCACGAACAUGCCUACUUAUUGUUGUUCCUGCCAUGUAUGAAUCUGUAAUAUAACUUGCCAUGUUCACAUGGGUGCCAUCAUAUUUUCUAUGCCUUUUUGGCUCAUGGUCAGUAAGGGUCUUUCGAUAUAUGCUAUUAGUAGAUUCAUGCCAUGCCUUUGUUUGCCAUGAUAAGUUCCUAUAACAUGUUGUUUGAUAGCUCUAAACAUUGCAACCUGAUGUUAUUUCUACUAAAGUCUGAAACUGUUAUUAUUUGCAAUAUCUCCAUGUCUUUUUGAGCAUGUUCUAGCCUUUUCUGGAGAUAGCUCAGUGUUCAUGUUUUGUUAUGCUUUACGUGUACUUCAUGCCCAUGCCUUUUGUUAUUAUGUUGGGGUGCUGUAGCAUGUUGUUUUGAUGCUUGUAAGGUGCCUAGUUGCUGUUUUGGACAGAUUGUUGCUAUGACUUGUAUAGUGUGUGUGUGUUGCACCGUUGCUCCGUUUUGAAUGUGCUCUAUAUGAAACUUGCUUGAUUUUGCAUGUAGUUUCAUAUUACCAUGUUGCAUCCUUGUUUUGGUGUGUUUGCUUGAUGUUUGGGUGCAUUUUGCAUCAAUGCCAUGCUUAACUUGUUUUGCUCAUAUCUUAUAGGCCGUAGCUCCGAAUCUAAUGAACUUUAUAUGUAACUUGACCAGAAUUUCGUGUAGAUCAUCUUGGUGAUAUUUAACUUGCUGUUUAACAACUUGAACAUAAUGUUUAUUCAGUUCUGGACCAAUUUCGAAAUAUGCAUAUGAGGACUUACCGGAAUUGUUAUAUGUUGUUCCCGGCCUCAAUUAAACUUGCCUUGAUGUGUUAUUCUUGUUUGCAUCGUCUCUUGCCAUGAGUAGAUUCAUGUAGCUUGGUCGUGCAUCAUGCUUGUUGUGCAUCAUGCCUUGGUCAUGUGUGGUGUGUUUACCUAUGUUGUGUGCUUCUUCUUGUUAGUUCCUGUUUCGUUGCGUUCGUGAGGAUUCGUUCGUCUACGUUUGGUUCGGCUUCAUCCGUUCAUCUUCUUCAUGGACUCGUUCUUCUUCCUUGCGGGAUUUCAGGCAAGAUGACCGCUACCUUGGAUCUCACUACUAUCAUUGCUAUGCUAGUUGCCUCGUUCUUUCGCUAUGCUGCGCUACCUAUUACCUGUUUGUCAAGCCAUCCCAAAUUGCCAUGAACCUCUAACCUUUGACACCAUUCCUAUGCAAACCGUUGUUUGGCUAUGUUACCACUUUGCUCAGCCCCACUUAUAGCGUUGCUAGUUGCAGGUGAAGUUGAAGAUUUCUCCAUGGUGGACAGGAUUUUGGUUGGGAUAUCACAAUAUCUCUUAUAUUAUUAAUGCAUCUAUAUAUUUGGUAAAGGGUGGAAGGCUCGGCCUUAUGCCUGGUGUUUUGUUCCACUCUUGCCACCCUAGUUUCCGUCAUACCGGUGUUAUGUUCCCGGAUUUUGCGUUCCUUACGCGGUCGGGUGAUUUAUGGGACCCCCCUGACAGUUCGCUUUGAAUAAAACUUGUCCAGCAAGGCCCAACCUUGAUUUUACCAUUUGCCUCACCACCACCUAUACCCUUCCCUUGGGUCGGCCAACCCAAGGGUCAUCUUUAUUUUAGCCCCCCCGGGCCAGUGCUUGUCUAAGUGUUGGUCCGAACCGAGCCGCCUACGGGGCCACCUCGUGGCAACUCGAGGGCUGGUUUUACUCGUAGCCUGUCUCAUCCGGUGUUGCCCUGAGAACGAGAUAUGUGCAGCUCCUAUCGGGAUUGUCGGCGCAUCGGGCGGUCUUGCUGGUCUUGUUUUACCAUUGUCGAAAUGUCUUGAUGUACCGGGAUACCGAGUCUGAUCGGAGUGUCUUGGGUGAAGGUCUAUUCCUUCGAUGAUCGCGAGAGCUUGUCAUGGGCUAAGUUGGGACACCCCUGCAGGGUAUAAACUUUCGCGAGCCGUGCCCGCGGUUAUGUGGCAGAUGGGAAUUUGUUAAUGUCCGGUUGUAGACAACUUGACACUUGAUCUGAAUUAAAACGCAUCAACCGCGUGUGUAGCCGUGAUGGUCUCUUCUCGGCGGAGUCCGGGAAGUGAACACGGUUUCUGUGUUAUGUUUGACGUAAGUAGGAGUUCAGGAUCACCUCUUGAUCAUUGCUAGUUCACGACCGUUCCUUUGUUCCUCUUCUCGCUCUCAUUUGCGUAUGUUAGCCACCAUAUCAUGCUUAGUCGCUGCUGCAACCUCACCACUUUGCCCCUUCCUUUCCCAUUAAGCUUUGCUAGUCUUGAUACCCAUGGUAAUGGGAUUGCUGAGUCCUCGUGACUCACCAGAUACUUCCAACACCAGAUUGCAGGUGCCUAUGUGACCGAGCAGGUGACGCAACCAAGCUCAAGGAGGAGCUCGAUGAAGAUCUUGCCCUUCAUGUUGUUUCGUUCUAGUUGAUCAGUAGUGGAGCCCAGUUGGGGUCGAUCGGGAACCUUUUGUCGCAUUUGGGGUUCUUCUUUUAUUUUGGUUCCGUAGUCGGACCUUGAUUGUAUCUGGAUGAUGUAAUGCUUUAUUCAUGUAAUUGUGUGAAGUGGCGAUUGUAAGCCAACUAUGUAUCUCUUUCCCUUAUGUAUUACAAGGGUUGUGUGAAGAUUACCUCACUUGCGACAUUGCUUUCAAUGCGGUUAUGCCUCUAAGUCGUGCUUCGACACGUGGGAGAUAUAGCCGCAUCGAGGGCGU